This 1505-nucleotide ribosomal RNA is filed under the name Parabacteroides distasonis. Its description in RNAcentral is "bacterial SSU rRNA". It matches the Rfam family "Bacterial small subunit ribosomal RNA". RNAcentral also lists the same sequence under 1 other name. Lineage: Bacteria; Pseudomonadati; Bacteroidota; Bacteroidia; Bacteroidales; Tannerellaceae. The record is from RNAcentral.
AGAGUUUGAUCCUGGCUCAGGAUGAACGCUAGCGACAGGCUUAACACAUGCAAGUCGAGGGGCAGCGGGGGUAGCGAUACCCGCCGGCGACCGGCGCACGGGUGAGUAACGCGUAUGCAACUUGCCUAUCAGAGGGGGAUAACCCGGCGAAAGUCGGACUAAUACCGCAUGAAGCAGGGGCCCCGCAUGGGGGUAUUUGCUAAAGAUUCAUCGCUGAUAGAUAGGCAUGCGUUCCAUUAGGCAGUUGGCGGGGUAACGGCCCACCAAACCGACGAUGGAUAGGGGUUCUGAGAGGAAGGUCCCCCACAUUGGUACUGAGACACGGACCAAACUCCUACGGGAGGCAGCAGUGAGGAAUAUUGGUCAAUGGCCGAGAGGCUGAACCAGCCAAGUCGCGUGAGGGAUGAAGGUUCUAUGGAUCGUAAACCUCUUUUAUAAGGGAAUAAAGUGCGGGACGUGUCCCGUUUUGUAUGUACCUUAUGAAUAAGGAUCGGCUAACUCCGUGCCAGCAGCCGCGGUAAUACGGAGGAUCCGAGCGUUAUCCGGAUUUAUUGGGUUUAAAGGGUGCGUAGGCGGCCUUUUAAGUCAGCGGUGAAAGUCUGUGGCUCAACCAUAGAAUUGCCGUUGAAACUGGGGGGCUUGAGUAUGUUUGAGGCAGGCGGAAUGCGUGGUGUAGCGGUGAAAUGCUUAGAUAUCACGCAGAACCCCGAUUGCGAAGGCAGCCUGCCAAGCCAUGACUGACGCUGAUGCACGAAAGCGUGGGGAUCAAACAGGAUUAGAUACCCUGGUAGUCCACGCAGUAAACGAUGAUCACUAGCUGUUUGCGAUACAUUGUAAGCGGCACAGCGAAAGCGUUAAGUGAUCCACCUGGGGAGUACGCCGGCAACGGUGAAACUCAAAGGAAUUGACGGGGGCCCGCACAAGCGGAGGAACAUGUGGUUUAAUUCGAUGAUACGCGAGGAACCUUACCCGGGUUUGAACGCAUUCGGACCGAGGUGGAAACACCUUUUCUAGCAAUAGCCGUUUGCGAGGUGCUGCAUGGUUGUCGUCAGCUCGUGCCGUGAGGUGUCGGCUUAAGUGCCAUAACGAGCGCAACCCUUGCCACUAGUUACUAACAGGUAAAGCUGAGGACUCUGGUGGGACUGCCAGCGUAAGCUGCGAGGAAGGCGGGGAUGACGUCAAAUCAGCACGGCCCUUACAUCCGGGGCGACACACGUGUUACAAUGGCGUGGACAAAGGGAAGCCACCUGGCGACAGGGAGCGAAUCCCCAAACCACGUCUCAGUUCGGAUCGGAGUCUGCAACCCGACUCCGUGAAGCUGGAUUCGCUAGUAAUCGCGCAUCAGCCAUGGCGCGGUGAAUACGUUCCCGGGCCUUGUACACACCGCCCGUCAAGCCAUGGGAGCCGGGGGUACCUGAAGUCCGUAACCGAAAGGAUCGGCCUAGGGUAAAACUGGUGACUGGGGCUAAGUCGUAACAAGGUAGCCGUACCGGAAGGUGCGGCUG